ACAAACAGAAGUAGAACAAACACGUAAUUUAACUGUACCUACCAUGAAUGCAUCUUCUUAGAUGAGUUCCUUUGAUCAUACAGUACAUCUCUUUUACGCAAUUGUGCAUUUGUGCAGGAGACGGUUUAUUGGAAUUGUGUAAAGAGAAGUGUGAGUCUUUGUGGGUUACAGGAGAGAAAACUGUGACUUAGAAUGGUUAUCAUACGCCAAGAUGUUCUUAUUUAGAGUUAAGAAUCCACCUUCCCACAAUAUUAAUUCGAGCAGUAGCACUUAUCGUUUAAACAAUCUCAGUGGAGCAUCAAUUGUUUUAAUUCUAAAAGAGAGAAUACUGAUCAAAGAGAAAAUCCAAGACAUAGAAGGCUAACUAUAUGAAGAAGCUAGAAAAGUUAAGGCUUUUGUUUGACAUGGAUUGGAUAGAGAGGUGUGAAGACUGUUUGCAGAAGUCUCAUGAGCACAGACCCUCUAAAUGAAGAGAACACAAAACAAACGUAGACCGGUUGGAUAUGGCUUGGGCAGGUGAAAUUUUCCCCCCAGACGCGUAAUUUCAUGCACUAGAUUUGCUUAUAUUUUUUGUUAGAAACACUUUGUACAUUCUUAUUUAUGUUUCUUGGCUCUAUUUUUCUGUGAGUUUAUUAUUCUGCAAGUUUUUUUUUUCUUGUAGUAGUUACAGAUUGUUAACAAAAAUAGGUUCCCUACAUGGUUUGGCAACACAAUAUCUGAUCGCAUAAAUAGGUUCCCAUCAAUGUACACCAUCGAAAUAAAACAUGACAGACUUCUUGGAGCAAUAUUCCCUCUGCAAUCCAUAAUAUAGGCAAAUAUAACUAAAAGCCACCUUCCCUACGAAACAACUAUACCUUAUAUCUGAAUAUUGAUGUCUAAGAAUUUGGAAAUGCUUUACGUAUAUGAUAUUCAAUCAUUUCUAAGAAUUUGUUCCAUUCUCAUAUCAAGUGCCGUUUUUUGGCAACUGUUUGAUACAAAACCUUCAAGAGCUUUUGUCUACGACCAAACUAGAUUCUUAGAUUCCCUGAUAGGAACUAUUGCCUUGUAGUUUUAUUAGAGAGUAGUACUCCCCACGACUUCCAAUGGACAGUAGAUUAGAAUGUGAUCCUUCUUCCACAACCUUUCCAUUCUUAAUCACCACUAUGCUAUCUGAUUUUUGUAUUGUUGAUAGUCGGUGAGCUACAACUACACUUGUUCUACCAAUCAUCACUUUAUCCAGUGCAUCUUGAACUAAUUUUUCAGAUGCGCUAUCCAGUGCACUCGUCGCCUCAUCUAAAAGCAUAAUUGCUGGGUUCUUCAAGAUUGCACGAGCUAGUGCUAUUCUCUGCUUUUGACCUCCUGAUAGCUGACAUCCUCUUUCUCCACAGUAAGUUUCAUACCCAUUCUCCAAGGAGCUGCAGCAUAAAAAGAAAAAUGUUUGUCAAUCAUACCAUUGCUUCUGCAUGUUUCUCUGAAAAAAAGUAAAAAAAAAAAAGAUAAUUAAUAUUUAAUAAUGAGAUGUCAACGGUCCAACCUUAUAAAUUCAUGCGCAUUAGCAACAAUGGCAGCCUCUUUUCACCUCAGCUUCUGUGGGCGUUCUCAUUCCCAUAAGUAAUGUUUCGUGGAUAGUCCCAGCAAAGAGAGUAGUUCUGACUACAGUGCGAUUUUGUGACUAGAUCGUAACUUAUAGCUCUAUGUUCUUGUCGUCAUUCGCUUACGAACCUUUUAGUGGAUCAUAGAAUCUCUCAUAAACGCAUAACUGUUGAUUUGCUUGAACCGCUUUGUCCACCAAUGCAUGUUGCCUGCUUCUAUCUAGAGUAGACCCUUGAAGAUCAUCUGGUCAGGCCCGGGCUGGAUAACAAAAAUACACAUUGUUCAGCUCGACAAAUCCCUUGAUAGUCUCGUUAGCUUUGAUUCCUUCUGGGUUAUCAGGCUCAAUCUUAGAUUUUCUGUCUAUGAGUGCAAAGAGUGAUCUAAUGGCAUCACCACCCUUGGCUAAAUCUGAUGUCAUGCUUCCUGCUUCGGCAAUGUUUCUACCUGUGCUCAUCAAAAUGAAGAACGCUUGAAACAGAGCCUUCGCAGUUAUUAGCUGUUGAGCAAUCAACCUUCCGCCAUACCAAAAAGCAAUAGCUGUGGAGGCCUGGGUGAAAAAUUGGGAACUGAACAAAGCGACACCUGUGAACCAAGACUGUUUGUUGCUCUCCUUCCGAGGGCCUUCGAGGGUAGCUUCAAAUAAAUCCACUAUUCUUUUUUGAGAAGCGAAAGCAGUAAUGGUCCUGUGGUUGAUUACUGCUUCACUUGCUAGUUGGCUUCCUUCGUUUUGUGAUGUCCGAACUUUUUCUGACAUGCUUUUCAUGAAAGCAGUUCUUGAAUAGAAACAUGCAAUGAUUAAAGGUUGCAUGCCAAUUAUCACAGCAGCUAGUCUCCAUGAGACCACCAUUGCUAGCAGGAAAGCUACAGAGGCACUAAUAAUGACCUGAAUUAUUAAGGAUAGUCGGUCCCCAAUGAGUGAGCGAGCCAUGUUGGCUUCAGUAGCCAACUUUGAACAAACGGCUGCGGUAUUAUUUUCAUCUUGGUCAAACCACCCUAUCUCAAAUGUUAACACCUUCUCAAGCAUUUUCUCUCGUAUCCUUUUGUUUAAUUGUUCUCCCAUGAUUGCAAAGUUGUAAUGCUGGAGGAGACUUGUGAUAAAGCUGAUGCCUGCCAGGGAUAAAAAGAUUGAGCAAUAGAAAUUAGUUUCAUUUUUGAGCUGGGCAUUGUCCUUGACGAAGUAAACUGAAAUCAUUGAUCCCAAGCAAAUAGGCAUGUGUGGGCUGAACUGCUCCAAAGCUAAUUGCACCCAAGCACCCAAGUAAAGUUCUCUUCCAUUCGGGUGCAUUCAUCUGCAGUAAACGCCACUGCAAAGGUGGCAGAUGAAUGGGUAGCUUUUGGUCAGAUUUGUCUUUAUUGGUAUGACUUUGGGAGAAGGAAUACCCCGGGCUACGAUGGUCUGCCGGACUGCUAGCCCUAGUUGAUUCAACACAGAUUGGGCUCAAUGUAUUGUAUUGGCUAUCAUCGCUUUGUUGUAAAUGAGAUGGAUUUAUUGCUUCACUCGGCAUUGUUCUUUCCUGCAACUGUACCAUUUUAGAAUACACUCCACUACCUUCGUUGUUCUGGAUUAGCUCAUUAUGCGUGCCUGACUCAAUCACUUUUCCCGAUUGAAGCACUACUAGAAAAUUGGUAUUCCGUAAUGUAGAAAGGCGAUGAGCAAUGAUGAUUGUGGUCCUCCCCAGUGAUGCUUUAUCCAGUGCCUCCUGUACUAUCCUUUCCGACUGUGAAUCCAAUGCACUUGUAGCCUCAUCUAGCAGCAGAAUCUGUGGAUCUCGAAUUAAAGCCCUUGCAAUGGCAAUCCUUUGCUUCUGGCCUCCAGACAAUUGAACUCCAAGCUCCCCCACCUGGUAAAUCAAAAUUGAUAUGGGCAUUAACUUUAGUCAGUAAUGGGAAAAUUGAGUGAUAUUGGUGAAGGAUUAAGCGGUAAUGAUUCUGCUUACUGGAGUCUCAUAUCCUUUUGGUAACAUAGUAAUGAAGUCGUGGGCAUUUGCAUUCUUGGCUGCAGCGAUGACAAGAUCCGUUGAAGCUCCUUCCUUUCCGAACAGUAUAUUCUCUUUUAUGGAUGUUCCAAAGAGAAUUGGCUCCUGAUUAACCAGGCCCAACUGGGACCGUAGCCAAUUCAGUUGAAAUUUCUUAAUAUCAUUUCCAUCCAAGAAAAUUUCUCCUUUAAUAGGGUCAUAGAACCUUUCAAGUAGUGAGAUGACUGUGGACUUGCCUGAACCACUGGCUCCCACUAGUCCUAUAGUUUCACCAGCUGGGACGAUAAGAUUAAAUUCUUGCAGGAUAACAGAGUCUGGUCUUGAUGGAUAACUGAAAGUCACAUUUGUGAACUUCAACUCUCCAUUAACGUUUGCUAAGACACAUCCUUUUUCAUCUUCUGAGUCUAUGGAUGGUAGUCUGUCGAUCAUAUCAUAUAUAUGGGAAGCAGUUGCAGUAGCCUUCGAGAAGAAUGUGAUAUUUGGCAGUGCACUCAUAAUUGAUCUACAUAUGAAAUGCUGAAUCUGUGACUUCAGAGUUCAGACAAAAAGAAAGAAGGUUAUAAGCAAAAAGCAGUACAAGAGAAACUCACAAUCCUCCCACGAUAGUACACAUUCCAGCAAUAAAAAUGUGACCACCUUUUUCACCCCUUUUGAUUACCAAGAGACUGCCAAUCCAAGACUGGAAAGCCCAAGUAGCAAAAAUCAUUCCCAUACUUCCAACCAACAUUCCCUUUAUAAACCCUUGCUUUACUCCAAGCUUUAAACUUUGCUGAAGUUCAUGGCUAAACUUCUCUAGUGUUUGAUGCUCUCCUGCAUAUGAAAAAACGGUUCGAACUGAUGAGAUUGCUUGUUCUACAGUACCUCCUGCGAUAUCGUAAGCGUCUUUCAUCUUCUUCCCCAAGUUCAUCAUAACUUUACCAAACCCAACACCCGGUAUAACGAACAUGAAUGGGAAUGGGAGGGUAAGCAGAGCCAAUCUCCAAGAUAGUAGGAAAGCGACUACUAGACUGAAGGUGAAUGUUGUCAAAUGUGCAAGGCAGUUUGGUAUCUGCAUGAAGAGAAGACCCACUAUAUAUACACUAAUAUACCAACAUCACAAUAAUCUGAAAAUGCAAACUGUCAUGUCUAGAAAGACAAGAACGAUAUAGAAUGUGAAGAGAAAAAACCUUCUCAGCAAGAACAUCUUGGAUUGAGUGGGAGUCGGAAGAGAUAGUGGAGACGACUUGAUAGGUUGUUGAGGUGGUAGUUUGAGUAUCAAAGAAACUGACAUCUUGCCUGAGAACAGACUUUAGGUACUCCUUUUUCAUACGAGAUGUCUGUCUUUCUGCAGUUCUUGUCCAACAGAUUCCUUCUGUAAAAACAAUGUGAACAUGGAGUGUCAAUGGGUGGGUUUCAGUCGAGGUGUCGUGGAGAUGGAGAGAACUGUCCAGAUCAUAUCUAUGGUGUAGUGUGCCUGAAUAUUUGGAUAAUUGGUGUGUUUUAACACAUAAUAUAGGUCUUACUUUGAGACUUUCAAUUCAUCUGUGAUAUGGCUUUUGGGUAAUGGAAUAAUUGUUUAUGAUAAAAAAUUCAGCUUCAAGAAAAAUGUGGUGUGAAGUAAUUUUCUUAUAGGAUGCUUUGCAUUAGGCUACUUUGAUCAUAAUUAGAUCCAGGGUCAAAUGUCGGCUUUGAGUAUUUGGUGAACCAUUAACACCCCUUGAAGUGUCUGUGGAUGCAUGUUUGCUUAUUGAAUAGACAUGUAAAGUAGGUGAUUUUACACAUACCAACAAAAGCAGAAAUUCCAACCCCUAUACCAACAAAGAGUAGCCUGAGUGCAAACUGAAAAUGAAGAGCACACAAUUAGUUUUCUACCAUUGGUGAACAAUGCAGUCAGUCACAGAUAUUAAUGAAGUCUGAAACAACAUCACGAUUUAUCACCUAGUAGGAAGUAGUUCUACCACCUGCAGAUCUAUCGCGAUCAUAGAGGAGGUUGCAGGCCACUUUCCCAUCCAAUAAAAGAUCAAAUUAUAGAUUUUUUUAAUUGGGGCAUAUUUUACAUGAUAGAAUAUAUUUACUUCAGAGGACUUGCUGGUGCUACGAAGUUAUUAUUAGUUUGCCAUGAAGAUAUAGUAAAACGCUGGUGCAUAGUGAACCUAACCUUGUCCACUACAUGAUUCGAGAAAGAGGCAUCAGCAUAUCCAUACUCAUUGAUUGCAUCACUCAAUACAUACAUGGACAGAGGGCUCAUCAACCCAUCUCCAAUGCUACCCAGCGUCCCAAACAACAGAAACAGCUUGUCAAUGCCAUCAGCAUAUCGGAAAAGCUGGAAGAUCGACAUGCUUCCUUUGCUUUCAGUGUCUUUGGGUGCUUAUAAUGCUCAAACCAGGCUCAUUUAUAUACAAUAUUUCAUUCCCUUGAGUAUGCCAGCUGCUUAAGAUAAUAUAUUUAUCAAUAAAUUAGACUUACUUCCUGUAACACUUGAGAUCUUAUCUGAUAGAUCUUACUUGGAGGUUGAGGGUUCCUAUAUUUAGCAUGUGUAGAUAAUUUUCUCCUCAAAAACAAGGAAAGCAAGCGAAUAUACAGAAAAUAACAUGGCUAAGGGACAGAAAUCAUGGACAAAGUUGCUGCACCUGCAAUAAAUAGUUUAGCAACUGGUAUAACAUUGGUACCCUGCAUCCUCAGGAAAGAAAGACGAGCACAUCCAGAAUUUUUCUAAUUAGAUAUAAAGGGAGGGCUCAAAUCAGCACAGAAAUACUAAGAUGUUGAUAGACCCAGAGCACCACAACAAAAACCACAAGCAUCGGUAAUGCCAAAGAUUGUGUUAAUCAUGAGGUUAGUUGGACUCUUAUGGUCUUUACAGCACAUUACGGCAUACCAAAUAAAAGUGUUCUGGUUUCUGUUGCAGGAAGGGACACUGAAAUGGUUAAUAUAUAUCGACACUGAAGUGGAGCCAAAAAGAGUAAUAUAGUGGUAUAAGGACUUUUGCGAGUUACCCUGCUUAAGUCUGAUUGUUCUCAUUGAUAAUUACUCUAUCACAUUUGAAAUAGAUAAUAACUUUAAGAACAUAAAAACGAUCAGAGUAUGAGAAGAUGGAAUGUUACCUAAUUCAGUGAGUGCUCAAAAUUCGUGUAGAUGUUAGGAUGGGAGGUUUCUUUUUUCUUGAAAGCAAAGUGGUGUUAUGCAGAGUUCUAACAGAUUUAGUGAAGUGUAAGAUGUUGAAGUCAAUAUACAACACCUGAAGCUUUUCUAAGUAGUCUCAUGGUAUUUGACUUUUAAAGAGUAGGUACUAAGUACAUCAGAGGUUCAUUAGAACAACGUUUAGCUGGUUGUACGUAGCUGGCACUAAUUGAUUUUCCUGGACAUGUAGGUUGUUUGUUUCUUUAGAUCUCAUCAGUUCUUACAGCUUAGUGUUUGUGCCUUUCUUUAUUCUAUUGAUACCUUACGACUGAGAUAAUUACUAAGCAUUUUAAUAUUCUAAUUUAAUCAAAUUAUGAAUAUCUAAUCAUCAACGAAUUGAUGUGUUUGGUAGUAGUGUAUAAACCAUGAUAACUCCACUUUUGCAUUGUUUAUAUUGUAAUGCAUAUGCAGCUGGAUACUGGUAUGCGUAAAAAUAUUAAUCUUUUCGGCUCCUUGAAUCUGUCAUUGUAUCGGGAAAAAAAGUCGUUUGGGUAACAUUAUAUCACAAAUGAAACUAGACUACCUGAUUCGAAACCAAAUUCCACUGUCUUAUUCUUAUUCCAAACGAGGCAAAAUAUGCAUCGACAACAUUAGAACGCCAUCAUUGCAUAUAAUGUGUUUUUUUGUUGUUGUUGUUGUUGAAGAAUUGGAACUCAAAACUGUGAGGCCUUAGAUAAGCGAAAAAUUUAUACCUAUGAAAUGUUUGAAUUGAAGGCAUUUUUCGGCAUACUUCUAGUUUGGAUUUCCCUUUCAUCGAUAGGUUUUAGUUGCCAAGCUAAACAACCUGUGCUCUUUAUCUUAAUAUUUUCUAUGAAGCUGUACUGUGCCCUUAGUAUGACUUGAGCUGUUUUUAGACAUGCCCCAUGUUUUAAUUGAAAUAUAAAGGUUCUUACAUUCUAGUGUUUUCACUCUUCCUCAGUAAAUCCUCACUUUCACUUCCUUGCACUUUCAAGUCCAUGUGGAGGUACAAAACUGACAAACUUAAAUUCAAUGUUGAGGCUUACUGAAGCAAGGUAAUCUGUAACUCCAUGGCUUUCUUUCUAGACCAUGUUUAACAGUUAUUAAUAUGAAUAUUUAGUUCUGAUUCUUGAACUGUAUCUUUUCCAUAUUUUAAUUAAUCUUUUUUUUUCCCCAUUUUGUUGGAAGUUUAAGAACCACUUGUUCCGGCGGGCCACCUUACUAUUCGACAAACAAGUGCAAAACACAUACGUACUACAGACCGAACUGAACCUUGUGUCCUGCACUCCUGUCUAAGAUUGCAAAGCUAUAGGUAAGAUAACUCUUAGCCUUGAUUGUAGACUUUUUUGUUAUUACUUUCUGUGAUUCCUCAUUAUUUGUAUUAGAAAGAAGACUUUAUGGUUUAGAAAUCAAAGGUGUACUAGUUUGAUUUUUCUCUUUUUAUCACUAUUGAUAUGAAAGUAUAAACUCUUAAUAACUAAUUUUCAUAUAUAUUAAUAUUAGAUUCUAGCACCAAUUAACAUUCUUAUACUUCAUUCCGAGAAUAAUGUCUGUUGUUGAAGAUUUAACCCAUAUUUCAGCAUAGGUUUACCGAUAUGGGGAAUUGUUUCCUUGUAGUUUUAUAAGAGAGUAGUAUGCCCCACCGUGUCCAAUUGCAAGUAAACUGGAAUGUGAGCCUUCUUCCACUACUUUUCCAUUCUUAAUCACUGCUAUGGAAUCUGCUUUUUCUAUUGUGGAUAGCCGGUGAGCUACGACGACACAUGUUCUACCAAUCAUCAUCUUGUCAAGUGCGUCUUGAACAAGGCUUUCUGAUAAGCUGUCAAGUGCACUUGUUGCCUCAUCCAACAGCAGAAUUGCUGGGUUCUUUAGAAUUGCCCUAGCAAGUGCUAUCCUCUGCUUUUGACCUCCUGAAAGUUGGACUCCUCUCUCUCCACAGUAGGUUUCAUAUCCAUUCUUCAUGGAGCUGCAAGCAAAAGAAAGCCAUUAAUCAUUUAUGAGGAUUGAUAAGAUUAUUUUGCAAGUAAAAGACUUGAUACAUUGGUGGUCCAUAGUUACCUUAUGAACUCAUGAGCAUUGGCACGCAUUGCAGAUUUUCUUAGCUCUGCUUCUGUCACAUUCUCUUUCCCAUAGGUAAUAUUUUCACGGAUAGUUCCAGCAAAAAGAGUGGGCUCCUGACUAACCAGCGCGAUUUGUGAUCUGAGUUGUCUCAGGUUAUAGCUCUUGAUAUCAUGCCCAUCAAUCACUACCGAACCUUUCAGUGGAUCGUAGAAUCUCUCGAUCAGACCUAUAAUAGUAGAUUUUCCUGAACCGCUUUGGCCAACCAGUGCCAUUUUUUUACCUGCUUCUAUUUGAAGACUUAGACCCCUGAAGAUCACCUGUUCUGGUCUUGCAGGAUAAGAGAAAAACAAGUUUUUCAGCUCAACGAAUCCCUUGAUUUUCUUGUCAACUUUGAUACCUUCCGCGUGAUCAGGCUCAAUCUCACUGUUCCUAUCUAAGAUUGCAAAAACUGAUCUGAUGGCCUCCACACCCUUGGCUAAGUCAGAUGUCAUGCAUCCUGCAUCGGCGAUGCUCUUACCUGUGCUCAUCAAAAUAAAGAAUGCUUGAAAUAACGCCUUUGCGGUUAUCUUUCCUUGAGUCAUCAGCCUCCCUCCAUACCAAUAUGCCAAAGCUAUAGAAGCGGUGGUGAUAAAUUGGGAACUGAAUAAUGCAACACCUGCAAACCAAGAUUGUUUGAUGUUUUCCUUCUGAGGACCUUUGAAUGUAGCUUCAAAUAGGUGCACUAUUCUUUUCUGAGAAGAGAAAGCAGUGACUGUCCUGUGAUUCACUACUGCUUCACUUGCUAGUUGGCUCCCUUCAUUUUGUGCUGUUCGAGCUUUUGCUGACAUGCUCUUCAUGAAAACACUCCUCGAAUAAAAACAACCAAUAAUAAAAGGCUGUAUGGCAAUCAUCACACUGCCUAGUCUCCAUGUGACCAGUAACCCCAAAGUCCAUGAUAAGGAAGCACAAACAAAGACCUGAACUAAUAAGGACAUUCGAUCCCCAAUAAGUGAGCGAGCCGUAUUGGCUUCUGUGGCUAACCUCGCACAAAUGGCUGCACUAGUGUUUUCAUCUCGGUCGAACCACCCUAUCUCAAAUGUCAACACCUUCGCAAGCAUUUUUUCUCGUACCCUUUUUGUUAAUCUCUCUCCCAUGAUUGCAAAGUUGUAGUGUUGGAGGAGAUUCGUGAUAAAGCUAAUACCUGCUAUGGAUAAGAAGAUAAAGCAAUAAAAUUUGGUCUCAGAUCGGAUAUGAGAAUCGUCCGGUAAGAAGUAUACUGAAGCUAUAGAUCCCAAGCAAUAGGCAUGCAUGGGUUGAACUGCUCCAAAGCCGAUUGCACCUAAACACCCUAGUAACGUUCUCUGCCACUCAGGUGCAUUCAUCAUUAGUAAACGCCAUUGCGGAGACGGUGCAUUAGAGGAAAGCUUCAAAUUUUGCUCUUCUUUUUCAUAAUUGGCAUGACUCUGGGUGAAGGAAUGUUCUUGGCUGAUUGAGUAUGGUGCUGGACUGAAGUGGUCCACGGGGGUAAUUGAGUAUGGUGCUCGACUGAAGUGGUCCACGGGGGUAAUUGAGUAUGGUGCUGGACUGAAGUGGUCCACGGGGAUAAUGGAGUACGAUGAUGGGCUGAAGUAGAAUGUCGGACUGCUAUGCCUACUUGAUGCCACACUCAUUGAAUUCGGAAGAUUGAUUUUUCUGAGGUUGACUUCUGUUGGUAAGUAACAUGGAUUCAAAGCUUCGGUUUCCAUAGUUUUUUGCUGUAACUGCACCAUUUUAGAAUACACCCCACCUUCUUUGUCAUUAGCUUGGAUCAGCUCAUCAUGAGUGCCUGAUUCAAUAAUUUUCCCUGAUUGAAGUACUACUAUGAAGUUUGCCUUACGUAUAGUAGAGAGACGGUGAGCAAUGAUGAUUGUUGUCCUUCCUAGUGAUGCUUUAUCCAGUGCCUCUUGUACUGUUCUUUCCGACUCUGCAUCUAAUGCACUUGUUGCCUCAUCUAGUAGCAAGAUUUUGGGAUCUCGAAUUAAAGCCCGUGCAAUGGCAAUCCUUUGCUUCUGGCCUCCAGACAAUUGAACUCCAAAUUGACCAACCUUUUAAAACAAAGAGAUGGUACUCUUAGAUCAAUAUCACAUUAAGAUGGAAAUAAGUAUAGUGUACUGGCUGAAAGAUUAAAAAGUAAGGACUAAUCUUACUUGAGUCUCAUAUCCUUUAGGUAACUUAGUGAUGAAAUCAUGGGCAUUUGCAUCCUUGGCUGCCUUAAUUACAAAGUCCAUUGGAGCUUCUUCAUUCCCGAACAGUAUGUUCUCUUUUAUGGAUGUUGCAAAGAGAAUUGGCUCCUGGUUCACAAGGCCCAUCUGGGACCUUAGCCAUUUCAGAUGAAGCUUCUUGAUAUCAGUUCCAUCCAAGAAUAUUUUUCCUUUGACAGGGUCAUAAAACCUUUCAAGCAGUGAGAUGGUUGUGGACUUUCCAGAACCACUUCCUCCGACUAACCCUACGGUUUUACCAGCCCCAACUUUAAGGUUGAACUCUUGAAGGAUAGGAGAGUCGGGUCUUGAUGGAUAACUGAAAGUCACAUUUUUAAACUGUAAAUCACCAGCAAUAUGUGUCAGUACUUCCCCUUCUGCAUCUUCUGAGUCUAUGGCAGGAAGUCUGUCAAUCAUCUCAUAUAUACGGGAUGAUGUAGCUACUGCCUCAGAGAAGUACGAGAGAUUGGGUAGUGCACUCAUUAUAGACCUGCAGUUGAAAUAGUAAAUGAGGGAUUUAGAGUUCAGAAAAACAAAUGGCGUACAGUAAUCCCCUAUAACUUAGUACUACAGGGUCGUUUUAGUCUAGACGGGCAUUUAAUUAUAGAAAGAUGAUUUGAACAAAAAUUAUCCUUGUACUUGAAUACUGUGAAAGCUGUCCUUUUUUAGGGCAGCUCUAAGGGUUUGAACCAACAAACUAGAUCAGCUUUUCCAUUUUCUUGUGGUUCCAAGAAGGACGUUGCAUGUGCUGUUUAUCUUGUAUAAAAGAAAUUUUCCUUUUUUAUCAAUUUCAUAAUUUGAACCAGAAGCUUAUGCAGACUUUUUAUAGGAAGUAUAUGAUAAGUGGUAAUUUAAUUGUCUACUAGGAUGAACAUGGAGUCCGAAUUACUCAACCAUACUUAGAGGUUAUUAAUUGAUACCGAGUUUAUUGUGGUGAAGAGAGACUCACAAUCCUCCCAGGACUACACAGACUCCAGAAACAAAAACAGGGCCACCUUUUUCACCCUUCUCAACCACCAAAAUGCUGCCUACCCAAGACUGAAAAGCAAAAGUAGCAAAAGUCAUUCCCAUGCUCCCAAUCAACAAUCCUUUAGUAAACCCUUGCUUUAUUCCGAGCUUCAUACUUUGUUGAAGCUCGAUGCUGAACCUCUCAAGUGUCUGAUGCUCUCCUACAUAUGAAUACACAGUUCGUACUGAUGAGACUGCUUGUUCUGCAAUUCCUCCAGCAACUCCAUAAGCAACUUUCAUUUUUAUCCCCAACUCCAUCAUGACCUUUCCAAAUCCAACACCAGGAAUUAUGAACAUGAGUGAGAAUGGGAGGGCAAACAAGGCCAAUCUCCAUGAUAGUAAAAAACUGACGAUGAGACUGAAGCUAAAUGUUGAUAACUGAGCAAUGCAGUUAGGUAUCUGCAUUAAAAAGAAAUACCAGGAUUUCAGUAAUAGUGACGUGAUAUUCAAUUUUUUAUUUUUUUUCCUUUUCUUCAAUGUUAGAGAAGAAUGAAGCCAAGGUGUUUAUAAAAACCUUUUCACUUAUAACAUCUUGAAUUGAAUGGGCACCGGAGGAGACUGUAGACACGACCUCAAAGGUUGUUGAAGUGUCAGUUUGAGCGUCAAAGAAACCAACUUCUUGCCUAAGAACAGACUUUAGGUACUCUUUUUUAAUACGAGACGUCUGUCUCUCUGCAGUUCUAGUCCAGCAUAUUCCUUCUGCAGAACAAGGUUUGAUCAAAGAAGGUACAUGAUUGGCUGAUCAAGUCACAAAAUCAAAUGAUGGUCCAACAAACACCAUGCAUGUACCCAGUGCAUCUUGGUUUUGCAAUGGUUGUUAUUCUAUACAUUUAGCUUGUGUGAUUGUGAUCAGACCAGGUAACCAUGACAGCCCUUAAAUAGCUAUGAACUGCAUGUUUAAAGAUUGAAUACACAUGAAUCUAUGUUAUUGUGGUGUAAGUAUGCGUACCAACAAAAGCCGAAAUUCCAACACCAAUAGCUACAUAGAGUAACCUGAGCGAAUACUACAAAAUGAAGAAAGUAACAUUUAGUUUACUACCAGUCAUUACAAGAACACAAUCAUAUACGACUUGUCACCCAGUUGGAAUCAGAUCAACCACAAUUCAGAUCUAACAAAAAUAUAUUUGCUUUUGCAGGGGAAGUUGAAGGUGUUCGAUUCUAUAUGUUUGUUAGGGGUGAAACAAAGGCGUACAGAAAAGUGAUGGAUAGUUGUACUACCUUGUCAACUACAACUUUUGUGAAAGAGGUACCACUAGUCCCAUACUCAUUGAUUGCUCCGCUUAGAACCAACAUGGUAAGAGGGCUCAUCACCCCAUCUCCAAUGCUGCCCAAAGUUCCAAACAACAGGAACAACUUGUCUACUCCAUCAGCAUAUCGGAAAAGCUGAAAGAUAGACAUUUUUUUUCUCUGUUAUCAAUUCCUUGGAAUGCAUAUAACUGUCAUAUAUAUAAGACUGGAGCCUUUCUCUUAUACCAUCGGUAUCGCUCUUUUUAGGUUUUGGCACCAUUUAUGUUACAUUUAGACCCUACUUACUGAUUUGAUUUUGAUUCUUCUACAAAGCUACAUAUUACUUAGUUGGAAGUAGCCACUCUUAUUGUCUCUAUAUCAAAAUUUACUUCCAUAUGGAAUGAUAGAUG
This 13581-nucleotide long non-coding RNA is filed under the name Aquilegia coerulea. Its description in RNAcentral is "long non-coding RNA (ACOE_LNC001915)". Lineage: Eukaryota; Viridiplantae; Streptophyta; Magnoliopsida; Ranunculales; Ranunculaceae. The record is from RNAcentral.